AAUCUAUGCACAUUUUUAAAGAGGUAAUUUACUAUUAUUACCUGCUUCCUUUUUUUUGAGCAAUAACAUUGGGUGGUAGUAUAACUGUGGGGUUUCUUGUCUCGUCUAAAUUAUGGACUUCAUGGGGUUUGAAUUUGUAUUUUGACUUUUUAACUUUCAACAACUUGUCGUAGAACAACAUAACCACCAACUUGUUGCAUCCAGCUGCUCAAGCCGGGCUAGUGUGUUCUGGUUUGCGAAUUAAAAGGGUAGCGUGAUGUUUCAUAAAAAAAACAACCAAUCUUUUGAUGCUUUUUCACUCUCCAAUUUUGUGGAACUUAUUUUGUGAAACACGGUAAAGAUGUCUAGUAGAUAAGCUAGUGGAGUGUGCUUCUUGUUUUCAUCUUCAGAACUGUAGCAACAGGAUGUCAUGAAACAUGGUCUUGCAAGAGCACUUUCGUUCCCAGCUACUUCCGCAAAAAUCGCAAUUGAAUGUUGAAUCCAACAUAAUUGCACUUUCCCUAAAAAACGAAAUUUUACAUUGAAAUUUCAAACAGUACCACUUAUAACAGAUUAAUAUUAUUAUAUUCUUUUAGCGUACACACAUUUUCCUUUUAACAGCCAAUCCCCUAGAAUUCCUUGCAAUAAAUCUGACCACCAUAACUGGAUUCAGGGACAGGCUACAGACUGGGCAAAAAAUCCACUUAAAGAUUUUUGGGGAUAUCCAGUAAUUUUUCAUUUUCUGCAAAUUCUAUCUUUUCCAAUUAGAAUAUUCGUAUCCAAACCGCAAGCAAUGUUUUGACAAACUAAGCCUUUGGGUUGGGAAAAUAAUUCCUUUUUGGUAUGGUCAUCGACAAAUUUAGCUACAUGAACAACAGUAUUGCUAUUUCGUGCGAUUUCAUCUACUUUCUUCGUAAAGUGAUGUCUACCUAAAUUAACCAUGAAAUUACUUUGACAAAUCAACCAAUAUAAAAAAUGAAUGUCUCCUUCACUCGCUCCUCAGCAGCAGCCGUUCUCUCUUUCUGUUCUCCCUCUCAGUUUUCCCACUCUACUAUCUCCCUAUAAGUUCUCAUUGCUUGUGUAUGUGUCCGGCCGUGCGUCUUUAAACUAUUUAAACCCAGAGACUAGUCAUCACAAUCUAUAAAAAAUUUUGAGGUUCAGGAUGUUUUCCAUUGUUUUAUUCCUGCUUGAAGUUUUCAGUCGUUUAAGUUUUUCAUUAGUCGUGGUGUUGCACCUGCAACGAAAAAACAUUAGGAAAUUAUUAAUUGUUACGAAAUAGAAGUUCAUGUUCCUUGAGUCAUUUCACUGAGGUAUCCAUCAACGUUGGAUAGGGUGCAGUCUGAGAUUUCUUCCCUUUUCUACUCCCAAAUGAAAUUUCUGAUAACUCCAUUUAAUCCUUUUUUCAACUUCAUACGAAAUAAAAACACUUUUGUAUGCGGAAUUCCUGGCCGAUUAAGAAGAUUCAAGCAGUCUGCCUAACUGCAAAAACAAAUUAUACGAUUUGAAGUCACACAAUUAGAACAUGGUGUUGAAAUUUUAUGCAAUUUGAAAUUUUCACCAAAACAGCACUUUAGUUGUUUAAGAAGCACUCAAUUUGUUUAAGAUUACAUACAGCACCAAAAUAAAAAAGGAGGCGGAAAAAAUGAAUUAGCAAUCAGGGUCAUAAGGCUCUUUCAUACUCCUUAGUAAAAACUCGUAGCCGCCUGAUUCCUCAAAAAGCAGGAGUUCGGCCUCCGUUUUCGGCAUGGAAGCUAGAAGGUGUAGCAUGCGAACAAUUGUUGCAAUGAUCUCUUGCUCUUUCAGUGUUAACAUUGACAAAGAGUUGCGUCUCAAUUAGAGGUAAUCAAAAUUAGAAGAGCUGUUUCUGUUCUGUCAUGUCUGUGGAUCAUCCACAGCACUUUCCUUUUGGAUUAUAUUUUUUAUGUUUUUCAUAAUGCAUAUUUGAGACUAAUGCAAACAAAAUGCUAUCUUAGACGAAGACUUAAGAUUGGCAAUGAUAAUAGAAGGUUAAUAUAAAGAAUCUAUAGACACUCAGAUUAACAAGGGACGAUAUUCAGAGAGCUUCUACAAUUCUUCUUCUAAGUAACAAUUUUGACGGAUGUUUUGAUAUACCGCUAUUGCCCUUUCCCAUUCAAAUAUCAGAGAACUUCGAAGGGCAAACACAAAUUAUAGUGAUGGUAAUGGGCAGGGAGGGCUAAAAAAAUAGUUGGUUUGAACGAAAGCUUUGAGAGUCAAAAACAUAUUUCACCAAAGAAAGACAUAACUGUUGACUAUAUGGACUAACGGCAUUAACAAUGACAGAAGGACGAAUGUUCUUAUCUACUGAUAUCUGCAACUUAUCUUAUAAUAAAAUCCUUGACCGUAGAGAACAUGUAAUUUGUCUUUCACUACCUUUAUUUUUCUCUUUAGUAAUUUUUCCAUUUCUUCUUUUGCCUUCUUUACUUGCUCAAGGCCUCAAGCUCUACUUUUAGCAAUAUAUUUUCUUUUCUUCAGUAAAUUUCUUCUGUUUCUAUUAAAUUUUUUAAUUCCGGAAGAUAUGUGGUUAUAAAAUAACAGCUUAUGAAAGAAUAUUCAGAAACUAAUAUCCAUAACGAAAUUACAUGAUUUGUUAGUGAUCAAUGAAGGUUGUUUGCAACAGCUUAAACCUUCCUUUUUACGUCCUGAGAACGCCACGCAGGACAGGAAGGGAGAAGGUAUUUGCAGUUGUGACGGGGUGUGACGGAGGGAGAAGGUAUCAAUGACAGGCAAUAUAAUUUAAAACGUAUCUAAAUAGCCAUUGCCAGUUCAAUAUUGAUGAUUUUUCUCUUGAAGUCUGUGGAAUAGUUGUUCUUAUUCCAGGCAACACGCUGAUGAUAAUCACCCAUCUGCCUUUGACUGCCGUUCACCAUUCGUGGACCUUCAAAAUGUUUUUGAAAUAUUCCAUCGAGCCAUAUUGAUUUAGAAUCAAAUGUCUCGAAUUUAUUGCCAUCUACGAUAAACAUGAUGGUAACGAUGAAAUGAUCAGAAGUAGACUAAUCCAUUGGCAUCGAAAUCUUGAUAACUGUCUGGAAAUUUUGUUGAGUUUUGUCAAAAUGUCCCAUUACUGCUUGUUUCAUCAAACUUAAAACCAGUCCGGUUAUCAUGGGUUUUUUAAUCAACUUUUAAAGUUCAUCCCCAGAAAAGAACUACACUAAAGAUGCAGUAUCGCUUCAAAAAAAUGUAGUUAAGGUUCAUUAAAAGACAUUAAUGAAAAACCACAAAUAAUUCAAAAGGAGAAAAGGCCGGAUUCUAGGAGAGGGGAAAUAAAUAAAAGUUGACGUAAGUCAACGUGGAGUGGACAACGGAGAGUGGUAAUCACGAUGGAAGGAGAAAGACAAAGUUAUGGCGGAGCAGGACGGCAAAAAGGACGGUCAAGGGAAGAGAGUGGUGAGACCUGACUUGUGAGCUGAAUGGAUAGAGGGUAACAAUGUGAUGGACUUCAACAACUUAACAAAAAAAAGCGACAUCCUUUCAAAUUUCAAAUAAUUUUUGGAAUUUCUGUAGACCAUACUAUGAAUGGAAAUUCAUGAUGUGUUGCGACACCUAAGUCAAAACCAUCUAUCAGCAUGAAACCAACAUGGGCUCAAUAGAAUCAAGUCAAUAGAAAUCAAGAGGAAGAAGGG
RNAcentral lists this long non-coding RNA (3620 nucleotides) under Daphnia pulex (common water flea). RNAcentral describes it as "uncharacterized LOC124192317". The record is from RNAcentral. Lineage: Eukaryota; Metazoa; Arthropoda; Branchiopoda; Diplostraca; Daphniidae.